GAAAUUCUUAAAGUAUCCAUUUAUUAAAUUGCUUCUCUUUCACUUACUAAUUUGUGCAUCAGUAGUUCAAGGAUUUAAUGUUCGCAUGUCACUCAACGAUUCUCCCAAAAGUUUCAACAAUAAGGAUUAUUCGAAGAGAUUAUUGAUCGGAUCAGUGGCGCCGGCGUGCACUUACAACGAAUGUCGUGGAUGCAAAUACAGAUGCGUGGCCGAGCUCGUCCCUGUGGAUGGUGACGACCCUUUCAAUGCCCCAUAUCGCUACAAAUGCAUUUGUCGUCGAUGGUAAUCAAUAUUAUUUUUAUUAUUUUUUUAAAAAAAUAAAAAUAAAAUAUAAGUUCUGUCAAGAAUCUCGCAUGGAAUCUUUUAGGAUUCUUAAUUAGGACACUAUUGAAAAAAAAAAGAAGAUGUCUGAUUUUUAGGGAUUA
Long non-coding RNA from Andrographis paniculata, 425 nucleotides. RefSeq lists it as uncharacterized. The transcript has 3 exons. The record is from RefSeq and is a predicted model, not a curated record. NCBI's taxonomy places the organism in Eukaryota, Viridiplantae, Streptophyta, Magnoliopsida, Lamiales, Acanthaceae.